AGAGGGAAAGAGCCCAGACCACCAGAUAAGGUCCCAAAGUAUAUGCUAAGUGGAAAAGGAAGUGAGAUCGCACAGACAACCAGGAUGUUGGCUUAGAAGCAGCCAUUCAUUUAAAGAGUGCGUAAUAGCCCACUGGUUAAGCGGUUUCGCGCCGAAAAUGUAACGGGGCUAAAGCAUAUCACCGAAGCUGUGGUUUCUAGGAACUGUCCAUAAAAUUUAUCUGUUAGUUAUAUUUAGUCAAAACUAACAACAAGAAUAAAAAAAGAAAGUUUUGACCAAAUGAUUUUAGCUAAAGCAUAUCAUGAAUUAGCUGAGAAGGUAGAUUUUAUGGGCGGUUUCUAGAGAGGUAGAGGAGCAUUGUGUGCUGAGUGAAGCUAUACCGUAAGGAGUAGUGGACGGCACAGAAGAGAGAAUGCCGGUAUGAGUAACGAAAAAAGGAGUGAGAAUCUCCUUCGCCGAAAGUCUAAGGAUUCCUGAGGAAGGCUCGUCCUCUCAGGGUUAGUCGGGACCUAAGCUGAGGCCGAAAGGCGUAGGUGAUGGAAAAUCGGUAAAGAUUCCGAUACCACUAUAAAUUGUUUGAAUGAAGUGGGGACGCGGUAAAGAAGGUGGAGCAUGUGACUGGAAGAGCAUGUAUAAGCUAUUAAGCUGGGGUAAGGAGGCAAAUCCCUUUACCCACUAAACAGCUUAAAGUGAUGUGGAGCCAAAAGAGGCGAAGCCACCGGAUGAAUCGCCAAGAAAAACCACUAAUGAGAUUUA
Molecule: ribosomal RNA, 756 nt
Filed under: Halanaerobium polyolivorans
Lineage: Bacteria; Bacillati; Bacillota; Clostridia; Halanaerobiales; Halanaerobiaceae
Description: partial 23S ribosomal RNA
Rfam family: Bacterial large subunit ribosomal RNA
Source: RNAcentral